UGAGCUUUUCCUGCGCUGGAAGAGGAAGGUGCAGCUUUCCUGAGCUACCUUACCCUUAACCGGUUUGUGGAAGUUUGGAGGUUCCUUUUCAACUGGAGAGCGUCUUAUGUUGACAGUGAUGUAGACAACUCUGUACCACCUUACCAAGAGACUGGGCUCUCCGAUCCACUGCAUCAAUAAGGACAGAAACAGUCUCGGCAAUGGGCCUGCCAGCUUUAUUAAUCUCCCUGUGUCUACUCAAAGUCACCAGGCUUCAUCUUCUUUCCUGACAAGCCUCUCAGGGUCAUUGUAAAAGGAGGAUGGAGAGGAAUCUGAAAAAAAUCACAGCAAGUCACUUGGGAGUGGUGUGUCAUGCCCGAUUGCCGUACAUGUAGGAAGCUGCUGCCCUCUGUCUGCCCUG
Monodelphis domestica (gray short-tailed opossum) is the source of this 400-nucleotide long non-coding RNA. RefSeq lists it as uncharacterized. The record is from RefSeq and is a predicted model, not a curated record. NCBI's taxonomy places the organism in Eukaryota, Metazoa, Chordata, Mammalia, Didelphimorphia, Didelphidae.